UGGAGGGUUAUGGGAGCCUGUGAAUG
This 26-nucleotide non-coding RNA is filed under the name Homo sapiens (human). The record is from RNAcentral. Lineage: Eukaryota; Metazoa; Chordata; Mammalia; Primates; Hominidae.